UUGCAGUUAAAAAGCUCGUAGUCGGAUGUCGGGUUCGGGGUGGCUGUCGGCCUAGGUCGGAUGGCCGUUCCGGAUCUUUCUGCCUGGGGAUCCUAUUCUUCUUAACCGAGGGGUAGUGGGACGCAGGCCGUUUACUUUGAAAAAAUUAGAGUGUUCAAAGCAGGCUUUGUCUUGAAUACAUUAGCAUGGAAUAAUGGAAUAGGACUUUGGUCUUAUUUGUUGGUUUAUGGGACCGAAGUAAUGAUUAACAGGGACAGUUGGGGCCGUUUAUAUUUCGUUGUCAGAGGUGAAAUUCUUGGAUUUACGAAAGAUAAACUUCUGCGAAAGCAUUCGGCAAGGAUGUUUUCAUUGAUCAAGAACGAAAGUUAGGGGAUCGAAGACGAUCAGAUACCGUCGUAGUCUUAACCAUAAACUAUGCCGACUAGGGAUCAGUGGAUGUCAAUUUGCGACUCCAUUGGCACCUUGUGAGAAAUCAAAGUUUUUGGGUUCCGGGGGGAGUAUGGUCGCAAGGCUGAAACUUAAAGGAAUUGACGGAAGGGCACCACCAGGAGUGGAGCCUGCGGCUUAAUUUGACUCAACACGGGGAAACUUACCAGGUCCAGACAUAGUAAGGAUUGACAGAUUAAAAGCUCUUU
This 635-nucleotide ribosomal RNA is filed under the name uncultured marine eukaryote. RNAcentral describes it as "SSU rRNA". It matches the Rfam family "Eukaryotic small subunit ribosomal RNA", at positions 613 to 1260 of the family's 1831-position model. The record is from RNAcentral.